AGUAGCAAACAAUUUAUUUGGAUUCACACAGGGAAGGAGAGGUAGGGGUGUCAGGCAAGGAAAGUGGGGAGUAGGAAACCCUAAUACUUGUGUCCUCUGGAAGACUGCCUCCCCCAAGUUCUUGGGGUUCAAGACUAUUCCUCAGGCUUUUAAUUCAGGAGUCCAGGAACAGGUCAGGGAGAGAGAAAAUUUCAGGGAAAGAUCUGGAUGGCUCUGGCCAGAGUGAGUCCAAAUACAAAACCCCCUUGAGAAUUCAGGUAGCUAUUCUUUAAGAGUCUUAGUGGAGGCAUUUUUGAGUCCCAGAAGGAAUAACAGGUCCCAAAUGGAUAGGCUCUUUCUCAGCUUCCAGGAAAAACACCUUCCUACUUCCCUCCUAGGCUGAAAGACCAUUGACAGUUGGAGCUUCAGAGUUCUAAUUCCUUUAGAACUCCCCGGCUUCUCUCUCUGCCCUCCUCUGCUGCUCCUCAGCUGAUCUAUCUUUCAGCCUGGCUUGUCAUUGGAACCCCUUGGAUCUCUCUUUCUUACAUUUCAAUGGAAAUCACCAUCUGCUUCAGGAAGUGGAAUCGAAGGUUGAAGAGCUGACAAUAUCAUAUGUUUGGAGAUCCUUUAUUUGCAGCAGUACACAUGCACCGUUUGUGCAGCUAGAAAAAGAAGUCGAUGAGUCACGGCUGGUCUAUAUAGGAACAUGAACCAACGAAUCUUUCUCACUCUCUUUUCCUGAAUUCCUUGAAGUGCAUCCACUUAAUAAUUAGAGAAAACACUCUACCUCCACCCAAAGAAGAGUUCAUUUUGUUAGGGGAAAAUCUCCUAACUCUGAGAGGUAGAAGGUGAAAGAAAUCUCAGCAAAGUUUAUGUUUAUUAAAGGAAAUGGACUAAACAAAUGCAGUCCUCAAUUCAUAUAUCCCUCAGGCCAUGGGAUUAUUUCAGUCCAGACUGGCAAAUAGUUGACCUCAGAAUGUCUUCUAUUUAUGAGAAUGGGUAACACACUGGAAAAAUUACCAUUCCUCCCAUUUUAGAGGUUCUGUAGGAUAACUGAGGAAUCUUUGGAAUCAGUUGGAAAAACUGAGUUUAGUUGUUAACUGAUAAUAACUAUCAUUGACCUUUGGCAAGUUUUUUAUCUUCUCCAAAUCUCAGCUUCUUCAUUAAUAAAAUGAGGGGAUUACAUGAAAUGAUUUUUAAA
Molecule: long non-coding RNA, 1180 nt
Filed under: Monodelphis domestica (gray short-tailed opossum)
Lineage: Eukaryota; Metazoa; Chordata; Mammalia; Didelphimorphia; Didelphidae
Description: lncRNA (ENSMODG00000042062.1)
Source: RNAcentral